AGAGUUUGAUCCUGGCUCAGAUUGAACGCUGGCGGCGUGCCUAACACAUGCAAGUCGAGCGGUAACAGGUGUAGCAAUACAUGCUGACGAGCGGCGAACGGGUGAGUAAUGCUUUGGAAUCUUCCCAGUAGUGGGGAAUAACCAGUCGAAAGAUUGGCUAAUACCGCAUACGUCUGUAAGGGGAAAGCGGGGGCUCGUAAGACCUCGCGCUAUUGGAUGAGCCAAAGUCGGAUUAGCUUGUUGGUGGGGUAAUGGCCUACCAAGGCGACAAUCCGUAGCUGGUCUGAGAGGACGACCAGCCACACCGGAACUGAGACACGGUCCGGACUCCUACGGGAGGCAGCAGUGGGGAAUAUUGGACAAUGGGGGAAACCCUGAUCCAGCGACGCCGCGUGUGUGAAGAAGGCCUGCGGGUUGUAAAGCACUUUUAGUGGGGACAAA
Molecule: ribosomal RNA, 441 nt
Filed under: uncultured bacterium
Lineage: Bacteria
Description: bacterial SSU rRNA
Rfam family: Bacterial small subunit ribosomal RNA
Source: RNAcentral